CUAGAACAGGGGACAACUUGGGCGAGCAUGGUGCGAAGGCAGGAGGGGGCAUCGAUGGGAAAUUCAAAAGGUGACGGAGAGCGAGAUUUCUCUGCUCCAAGAGAAGUUCUUCACCAAAGUGGCGGCGCUCUCGGGUGAGGAAAUAAAUGAGGCCUUUUGGACGAUGGAGGUUGCCGCUAAAGUUGGGGACACAAUGCCGCUACGCACUCUGCUUUGUGGUUGAGGUUGCCGAACCUGGUGGUCGAGUAUUGCGAUGGAAAUAAAAGAUUCAUCGCAUUGCUUUGUCGGCAGGGGACUCCUGCAGCCUAGUAUCAUGGUGAAGGAAGGAUAUGGUUGGGCUUGUGUUCAAGUGGACAUCAACAAAUCGCUGCAGCCUAGUAUCAUGGUGAAGGAAGGAUAUGGUUGGGCUUGUGUUCAAGUGGACAUCAACAAAUCGCUGCAGCCUAGUAUCAUGGUGAAGGAAGGCUAUUCUUGGGCUUGUGUUCAAGUGGACAUCAACAAAUCGCUGCAGCCUAGUAUCAUGGUGAAGGAAGGCUAUUCUUGGGCUUGUGUUCAAGUGGACAUCUACAAAUCGCUGCAGCCUAGUAUCAUGGUGAAGGAAGGCUAUUCUUGGGCUUGUGUUCAAGUGGACAUCAACAAAUCGCUGCAGCCUAGUAUCAUGGUGAAGGAAGGCUAUUUUUGGGCUUGUGCUCAAGUGGACAUCAACAAAUCGCUGCAGCCUAGUAUCAUGGUGAAGGAAGGCUAUUCUUGGGCUUGUGCUCAAGUGGACAUCAACAAAUCGCUGCAGCCUAGUAUCAUGGUGAAGGAAGGCUAUUCUUGGGCUUGUGCUCAAGUGGACAUCAACAAAUCGCUGCAGCCUAGUAUCAUGGUGAGAGCGAAGGGCAGAUCUUCUAGGAAAGCACUCUCUGCAGUCUGGUCUGGUCCGGUCUUAGGGUGAAAGCAAAGCGCAAAUCAUCCUGGAAAGCAUUCUCAUAUGAGAACCUGCCAGAACUGGAGGGACGCUUUUGUAAAUUAUCGUUAUCCGGGGCUCGCAGGGAGUUUUAUGCUCCAAGGGAAAGGACGGUGUCUAAAACAUAAAAAAGGGCACCACGGAUUCGGGAUUCGUGCCUCCCUCCGUGUCGCCGCUUCGCUUCGUAAUAAGGCGGCAGGCAGUCCGGCACCCGUCCAGCCGCUGAGAGACAGAGAGAGAGAGAGAGAGAGAGAGAGAGAGAGGCAGGAAGAGAGGAGAGUGGAAUCAUCGGAGAAGGAAAUCAAUUGAUCGACCGAGAUCAAGAUCACGGAAUGGAAGGUUGGGACCCGAGCACGCAGUCGGCUUUGACGCAGAUCCCGCUGCUGUCGACGCGGGCGGGGCCGCGGGAUGGGGCGGCGUGGACGCAGCGGCUGAAGGAGGAGUACCGGGCGCUGAUCGCGUACACGAGCAUGAACAAGGCCGGAGACAACGACUGGUUCCGCAUCGCCGCCGCCAACCCGGAGGGCACCCGCUGGGAGGGCUCCUGCUGGUACGUUCACAACCUCCGCCGCUACGAGUUCACCCUCCAGUUCGACAUCCCCGUCACCUAUCCCGCCACCGCCCCGGAGAUCGAGCUUCCCCAGAUCGACGGCAAGACCCACAAGAUGUACAGGGGAGGGAAGAUCUGCCUCACCGUCCACUUCAAACCCCUCUGGGCCAAGAACUGUCCCAGGUUUGGAAUUGCACAUGCCCUUUGCUUGGGCCUCGCACCAUGGCUUGCAGCUGAGGUGCCCAUUCUGGUGGACUCUGGCAUGGUGAGGCACAAAGACGACGAGGCAUCAUCUACCGAAUAUUAAGUAUGCUUCUUGGUUUUGGUGAUAAUAAACUUCUACCAGGGAAAAAUAGUAACUCGACGCAUUAGCUGAUAUAUAUAUUAUGAGUUAAUUGACAAGUACUGCAUAAUAUAUAUCAUGAGUUGAGAUUGUUAUAUUGAUUAUUCUGUGCCCUCCCUUUUCAAACAGAAUUGUUCUAUAAAUGUUUAACUGAUGUAGCCAUCCUUUCUGUCUUAUGUCCUGCCGAAAUUUAAUUUGAAUAGUCAAAUAUUUGUUUAUCCAAUGUCAAUAUACAGAAUGUUUAAACUUGAAUCAGAGAUAUACACAUCAUUGGGGGCAAAAGCAUGUGUAUUGAGGUGGGUUUUUUUUUUGUUUUUGUUUUUGUUUGAAGGGGGGGUUGGGUAGAUAGAGAUAGAGGGAGAGGAUUCAUUUCCUUGUAGACUAUAGAAGCUUACAGUAAAUCUGAAUCACAAAAUAACUGUCUUUCUAUUCCUUUCUUUUUCUUAGAGAUAGAGCCGUGACUGUCAUAUCUUUUCAGCACAUAAAGUAUAUGAUGUUAUAAUAUCUCAUAGUUUAUCAUUUAAUUUAUGAAUACAUUGUGGUUUCAAGUGAAGUUUAGGAUGACCAUGGGCAGCCCAAACCUUUCCCACUAUCAGACUAGAUUUCUGAGUCCCAUAAUACAAAUCACUGGGGAACUUCCAUAUUGUGAAUAACUAUGGUAAUGAUUAAAUAUAAGGGGAUAAAGAACACUAAGGAAUUGGAUGAUCAAUUGGAUAAUAAGAAAACACCUAAAUUAGGAAUUUACGAGUAGAUCCCAUGUGGUUGCAGCCUGGCACCUUCCUUGAUUGUAUGUGUAUAUUAAAUCCCAUUCUUCUUAGCCAAAAUGUGCUUAGGGAUUUUUUUUAUCGGAUAUAGUCUUGGAUAGGGUAAAUGGAAACCAAUUACCAAUCUAUAAAAAAAUAAAUAAUAUGUUGAUUUUUGGUACAGCAGAUUUAACGCAAUCUAACUAUGGAAAUUAAAACCUUAUACUAGCUAAAGUAAAUUGCAAGGUUGGAUGUUAAUAAUGUAUUCCUCAUGCCAAGUGGAUGGAGGUGAAGGUUAGGAAAGACAAUGUGUGGAAUGUAGAGGAGCCAAAAGGUUCCACUUGUAGAGGUGAAUGUUUUGAACCAGAGAUGCUCUAACAAUAUAUAACAUUGAAGAAAGGAAAAUUUUGAGGGAGAUUGAAAAGCUUAAAAAAAAGCCAGGAAGGACAACCCUAAUAUUACUUGGAUGGAGGUUUUGAUAUUUCUGUUUUUGUUUAAUACGGUUUGAAAAGUUAUUUUAGAUAGAAAGAACCCUAUAAUUUUUGUGGAGUAUAAUUGGAGGAGAAUGGUAAUUUUGUCUUGGCUUAAUCUGGGUUAGAUAUGAAACUUGCAAUUCUGAUUGUUUAUCCUAGACCAGAUUUGUAAAUAAAAUGAUGCGGCCAUGUAAGUUUCAACUUAGAUUCUGCUCUUUUGUUGCUUUUCUUGAUCUAGGCAUCUCCAAUACUGCUUAGUCCCAGAUGAAGGUAAUGCCACCAAGGUCUUUGAUCAAUUGAUCCUAUUCCACUUUCUCACAUGAGUGUCAAGUUGGUUCUUUUUUUGUUUCUGGAAUGUGUGGAGAUGAGGAGGUAAAGAUGAAUAUAUAUAAGUGGAACUAUGUCAUCUCUUUUAGAAUUACAUGUUUUUUUUCCAUAAUCUUAGUAGUAGUAGAUCUACAAGUUUAGAACAGUGCAUGGUAGGUAGUGUGGAAGUACAAAUUUUGCUGUUAUUUGUUUUGUUGGUAUGAUGGUCUCCUUGUAGAUUUCUUGUUCUAUUAGUUCGAGGGUAUGCUUGGAAUAAUGGUUUGAUAUUCCGCGGUCAAGAAUACCGAUUUCCAGAAAGGAUUUGGCAAUCUUGAACUGAGGAUAUGACAACCUUAUCGUGGGUUAUGCAGUCAGUUGGGUAAGUUAUUUUCUUUUGUUUAUUUAACAGCUGCUAACAGAAGAAAAGUAACAGCAUGCUGUGUUUUUUAGUUGUUUUUAAUAUUUUUUGCUCAUUUUUAGAUGAUCACCGUGCUAAGUGCGUUAUAGUUUUCCAAUGAACCACGGAAGUUCUCUGUUUACAACUUCAUAUAUUUAGGUCCAAGCACUUAAAAACCUAUAGCUUGUGGGUAGUUGCAACCAUUUAAUGGAAAAAUCCCUCUUUUAGAUUUUCUUAUCGUUCUUAUUUUAUUGCCCUGAAUUUCCACCAUCUCCAAUUUCAUUUAUGCAAUGUUAAAAUGGAGUCUGGAAGCAAGUGCAUCUAAACUCAUUUUUUAUGGUUUGUAGCACCUAAAAUUUUGCAUUUCUUUUUGGUGCCAGUAGUUUACAAGAAUUAGGUUCUACAUCUAAUAGAACCAAUCUUAUUGACAAACCUACCAUCUUGUAUGACUAAUCGAACUAGUCUUACCAUACUUGUUAAAUAUAAAUCAUGUAGACUUUGUGUAAGUUGUAUGCUCUCGAGUAAUAGUAAAUCAACAUAAUGUGGCUUCAUAUUGGUUGGCUUGAUAUUUUCAAUAUACUUAGCGGGGCCCAUCUCAAAGCAUCAAGGUUGGAUUUGUGUAGGUGGAUGAAUUAUGGAGUUUGGAGCACUUUGAGAUCUGUGUGGUGGGUGAGCAACGGUGGACUUGUGCAAAGGUGAAUCUUUGUUUCGCACAAAAUUUGCAACCCUAAUCCCUUGGCGUCUCGUGUAAAACAAAUGUUUAUCCCCUAUUUUGCUGCGGUUAAAAUUGGAAGAAAUGUUACUCCCAAGAUCUGCAGGACACCUGGAUCUGCACCCCCUGAAACAUUUAGAUGGAGAUGCACCGAGCCAUUCAAGGGUGAAACGAGCGAUAAAGCUUGUAAGUGCUCAGAGCGUAGCAGUGGCACUAGAGUGCUAGGAUUGAAACUGCGAGGCCGCAGAAGCAUGAAGAACAAUGAGUUAGCAGUUGAGAUGUACUGAUCUUGUAUAAGCAAAGCAUCAUGCUGCUGUCGGAUUCAUGAUAGAUUCUAGAUGUUAUAAUUUUGGUUAAGAUUUUGGAAUUUUCAGAGAUGCAUCCUGAUGAUAGAUGAUAGACGACAGAUAACAGAGGACGACCAAGAAGGCACAAAUUACAAGAACAGCCAUCGAUCCCUUCGUGGAGAGGGGGUACCUUCACCAUGACGACUGCAUUGGUAUCUCAUGCUUUUCGUUUGUGGCAUAUGAGCCAUGUUAGCUCUAACAAGUGACCUCGGAAAAAUCAUCUCAAGAACAUGUACUGUAUGGUAAUUUCAAGUAAAUCAGCAGGCAAAUGGCUCGAACAUCGCUGUCAUGGUUU
Molecule: non-coding RNA, 5115 nt
Organism: Phoenix dactylifera (date palm)
Lineage: Eukaryota; Viridiplantae; Streptophyta; Magnoliopsida; Arecales; Arecaceae
Source: RefSeq, a predicted model, not a curated record